RNAcentral lists this long non-coding RNA (4756 nucleotides) under Sus scrofa (pig). Its description in RNAcentral is "lncRNA (ENSSSCG00000056517.1)". Lineage: Eukaryota; Metazoa; Chordata; Mammalia; Artiodactyla; Suidae. The record is from RNAcentral.
CGCGGCCAGCUGAUAGGGACUGGGCGGCCAGCUGGUGGGGACUGGGAGCCUAGGGGCAUCACCCAGUCAGGUCCUCCUCCAGCCGUGCCCACGUGCUAGUGAUCAGUGAUUUGCCUCUUGGGCCCCGGCUCCCCCGGGGCAGGGGCAGAGCACAGUGCAUGGCGGGAAAUUGAAUCCAUUUUCUAAUGAUGCCUUGGUUUAAAAAAAUGACUCAGAAAAUGUCUAGAUAAUUAAGAGAAAAUAUUACCUUGUGGUAUUCAAUUUAUUUCUUUGGCUAUACACUUUUUCCUUGGGGGGCAUAGAUAUUCUGAUUUAAAACUACAAUAACGAUAGUGUCAUCCUAGGAAAUGAGCCUAACAGGAAAUGAGCCAGAGCAGAGCUUGGCCUAAUGACCUGAUGACCAGAUAAUGGCCCUCAACUUUUUAUAGAUUAUCAGUCCUCUCAAUGACUUGUGAUCCCCUGGAAAUGCCAUGCCUUCCGCAUAAUGAUGCUUAAUUAUGCAGACUGAGUGAAUAGAAUAUCUAAGCAAUUCCUGUCUCCCUCUUAGGUGUUAACAGUCCGAUGUUGCUUUGCAUGACAGGUUGUUGUAAAGAGCCUUGACUAGCACCUUAACACAGCAUCUUACUGCCCAAGUGGCCUGACAAUGUUUGAUUAGUGAAUGAAUGAAUAAGUGGAUCAGUAAACCAACCCAGAUCUCAGGGUCCUGACGGCAGCCUUAGAGCUGCCUUUGGAGCUGGGGAGCUGCCUCUGGGCUUGGCCUCACAGGGACUGUGUCAAUGACACCUUUCUUGUGGCAUGGUGAGCACAGAGGUGGGCGAAGUUGUGUCUUAAUUCACACCUGGGAAACCAGGGUUGGGAGGAGGACCAGCCUGCAGAGCCGAGAGCACCUGUCUUUACUCUCGCAGGUGGGUCCUGGGCCCACCACUGUUUUUAUUCUUUUUCUUUUUUUUCCCCUUUCCUUUUCUUCCUUCCCUCCCUCUUUCACUCUUUCUUUCUUUCUCAUUUUAUAGCCACACCAAGAGCAUAUAGAAGUUUCCAGGCUAGGGGCUGAAUCAGAGCUGUAGCUGAGGCCAGGGUUCGAACCCACAUCCUCAUGGAUACUAGUUGGGUUCUUAACUACUGAGUCACAACAGGAACUCCCUCUUUUUCGUUUCAUUUUCCUUUUCCCCCAUCAUCCUGCAGCUGCAUCUCUUCCUUGAAGGCAGGGAAGACAUCUGUCAGGACAUGCUGGGCGAUGCUCUUUUCAUCAGGAACUGUCUCACUCCACAAUGGAGAAAGCAGACAAAGGCAUCCUUUGGAAAUAAGAAUCACCUGGAGCAAAUUUGACAAGAUUAGUGGGUUUUCCACACUCUGUCCCUUUGUGGGUAAAGUUUUGAGGGAAAAAGCGCUGUGCACUGGCAGCUGUUGCCUGACCCAGGGAUUUGCCUCUGGUUGCCUUGUUUUUUUGUAGGGAUUUUUGGCUUUUUUUUUUUUUUUUUGUCUUUUCUAGGGCCACACCUGCGGCACAUGGAGGUUCCCAGGCUAGGGGUCCAAUCGGAGCUGCAGCUGCCGGCCUAUAUCACAGUCACAGCAAUGCAGGAUUCGGGCCAUGUCUGCAACCUACACCACAGCUCACGGCAACGCCAAAUCCUUAACCCACUGAGCGAGGCCAGGGAUUGAACCCAAAACCUCAUGGUUCCUAGUUGGAUUCGUUAACCACUGAGCCACGAUGGGAACUCCCUGGUUGCACACUGGGGCGCAGGCUGGAAUCCGCCCUCUUCUUCUCAUUCCUCACAUCUCAUCCGACACCGAUUCCCGUCUUUCUAAGUCCUAGAGGUCUGUUGGUCUGUGCCAUCUCUCCACCCGCCCUAUGAGAUCAGAGUUAAGGUCCGAGGCCCAGUGCUUGCCCGUGACCCUGCCGCCACAACUUGGAAGCAUGGAUAACAAGACACUGAAAAAGCAGGACGAGAACCAUGGACUCCGUGACCCACCACGAAGGCACCUCUGGGAAGAAGAUUUCCUUUGCUGCGAAAGGCUGGCUUUCAGAUUCCCCCAUGUAGCUAGCUCUCCUGGGAAGUGCAGACCCGAAAUCUUACCUCCUUCAGUCAUCACCACCCACAAGGCAUACACACUAAUCGCAGUUGAACAAUGAGAGGGUGGCUCCCUGGAGGCUGAGGCUGGGACUCUGGCAGUGGAGAUCCACCCCCCGGGGGUUGGGGAGGACCUGGAGCCUCAGCCCCUUCUCUGCCUGUGUGGUCAGCAUGGCAAAGGGGUCUUGGGAUGCAGUCAACACAGGGGCAACGUGUAGAUCAGGGCGGGGCCCAGAAUGGACACUCGGUAACUUCCUGCUUGUUAUCGCUUCUAAACAACCCAGAUAGAUUUGGGUGCAGCAGGCUAGGAGCCAAAAACACCUGCCCUCAGCUUGGUGCACAAACCUGAUUCAAGACAUAGAGCUGAGUGAGCUCACCUCAGGGCAGUGAGAGGCCUGGAGCUAAAACCACUGUAUCCCCUUGCAUUUUACUUAGGUGGAAAACUUUUCUCCUUGGCUGCUAGGAAACUCCUUGGACUUGUGCUUAAUCAGGAACACAGUUCCUGUGGGGAACACCAAGAGUUUUUGCUGCACUCAUAUCUUCAUUGCGUUCCUUUUGGCCACACACAUUCCCCCUCUUGCCUUGGUGUGUUGUCAUUGCUACAUGAGGCAAUGAGCUGGGACAUUUCAUCUCUAAUAUAUCUGAUGUGAAGUACUACUAAAAAAUGUUGGAAUGCUUUUAAUUCCCUAUUAUCUCUUUAGAUGGGUCCUUUAUCAAGUUCCUGAGUGUCUUCAAGACAUUCUUAAAGGAUGGAGACAGCGGAGGGAACUAGUUGGGAUUCUGGCUUCAUGGCUGCUUCUCAAUCAUGAGCACUUGGGCAGCUCCAGCUCAGGACACCGCAGGCCAGACGCUGAGGGUACAGAGAACUCAUGUGUAACCCCCAGUACAGCCCUUGCAAGCAGAAUGUCCUUAAAAUGAUAACAUCGUUACUUUUCAUAAGCUUUCUGACUCUACUAUUUUGUUUUGUUUGUUCGUUUUGUCUUUUUAGGGCCGCAUCCACGGCAUAUGGAGGUUCCCAGGCUAGGGGUGGGAUCAGAGCUGCAGCUGCCGGCCUACACCACAGCCACAGCAAUGCCAGAUCCUUCACCCACUGAGCAAGUCCAGGGAUUGAACCACGUCCUCAUGGAUACUAGUUAGAUUCGUUUCCACUGAGCCACCACGACAGCAACGCCCCUAUUUUGUUUUUCUUGUUAUUCUUUCAGUCUCUCUAAAUAGAAGGAGCUAAGUUGUGGAGGGGACCCUGAGGCUGUUGUCUGAAGCCCUCUCACCCUAUGACACACUUUGAUUCUUUUUCUUCCUCCUUUUUCAUGAUUCAGUUCAGCCCCUGCCUGGAGCCUUCUCUGGGGAGCAGAUUUGCAACAUUGACGUGGGUGCCAUCUCCUGGCCAUCUCAGGAACAAGCAAAGUCAAGCAUUCCUGCUUCCUGGCUUUUAGAGCAAUAGGCAGGGUCCCAAAUUCUUUGUAUCUUGGCAUCUUUGUUUAAACUUACUGCAAUCCCAUGGAUGAGAGAGGAAAGUUUCCUGGACCAGAAAAAGGCAUCAGGAGAAAAAAAGUGGAGGGAUCGGGGCAGAGUCCGUUGUUUAUUUGAUGGUGUUGUAGCCAUGUUUCCCUCUUGGUUUUGACACUUGGACCGUGGUUUUGUGAGCUGUUCGCAUUCAGGGGCUGAGUCAAGGAGGCAUGGGAUUUCUCUGUAUUAUCUUUGCAAUUCUAAGUCUCAAAUUAUUUCAAAAUAAAAAGUUUUUUAAAAAAUCAAGCAGUAGACACAGAACCAAAGGAGAGCCAGAUACUGCAGUUAUUCUGGUUUUAUUUUUACUUUUUUUUGGUCUUUGUGUCUUUUUAGGGCCGUGUCUGAAGCAUAUGGAAAUUCCUAGGCUGGGUUCGAAUUGGAGCUACAGCUGCCGGCCUACACCACAGCCACAGCAACUCAGGAUCCGAGCCGCGUCUGUGACCUACACAACAGCUCACAGCAGCGCCAGAUCUUUAACCCCCUGAGUGAGGCCAGGGAUUGAACCUGCAUCCUCAUGGAUGCUAGUUGGGUUCAUUAAUUGCUGAGCCGUGACGGGAACUCCCUGCUCUGGUUUUAAAAUAACCAGGAAUAAAAUGUCAUGAAAUUAGAACAUAAGAUGAAGAACAUAGACAACUGGAAGCUAUAAAAAAUGAAUUAGACGGAAACAUCUGAACUGAAAAGGACAGGAGCUAAAAUGAAUGAAUAGCUAAAACUCAGUGGAUGGAUCUGACAAUAGAUGAGACAAAUGUGUAUAAAAUCAUUCAGGAGAGAGAAAAAGGGACAAAAAAAAUAGGAAAGAGAUGUACUAUUUCAGAUGUAGUAGGAAAACAACCGAAUGUAUGUGAAGUUUCACAAAACAGCCUUCCCUUCAUCCCCACAGUCCACCUUCCCCACCCCCACCCACAUAGGGACCUGUCUUCAGUCAUCCUCAAUUCCAGGGAAAAAUUAGAAUUUAAAUAUAUAAAAAAAAUGUGCACACAGAUAGAUGCUAUUUAUUAAAAAUGUUCUGUGGAAGUUUCCGCUGUGGUGCAGUAGGUUAAGAAUCUGACUGCAGUGGCUUGGGUUGCUGGAGGCGCAGGUUCAAUCCCUGACCAGGCGCAGUGGCUUAAAGGAUCUGGCCUUGCUGCAGCUGCAGAGUAGGUAGCAACCGUGGCUCAGAUUCGAUCGCUGGCCCGGGAACU